AUACGGAGGAUGCGAGCGUUAUCCGGAUUUAUUGGGUUUAAAGGGUGCGUAGGCUGUGCGUUAAGUCAGGGGUGAAAUGCCGUCGCUCAACGACGGAGCUGCCCUUGAUACUGGCGUGCUGGAGCACGGAUGCCGUUGGCGGAAUGAGUGGUGUAGCGGUGAAAUGCUUAGAUAUCACUCAGAACACCGAUUGCGAAGGCAUCUGACGAAUCCGUGGCUGACGCUGAGGCACGAAAGCGUGGGGAUAGAACAGGAUUAGAUACCCUGGUAUUCCACGCCGUAAACGAUGAUGACUAACCGUCGGCGAUAGACAGCCGGUGGCCAAGCGAAAGCGAUAAGUCAUCCACCUGGGGAGUACGUCGGCAACGAUGAAACUCAAAGGAAUUGACGGGG
Molecule: ribosomal RNA, 393 nt
Filed under: uncultured bacterium
Lineage: Bacteria
Description: partial 16S ribosomal RNA
Rfam family: Bacterial small subunit ribosomal RNA
Source: RNAcentral